Molecule: ribosomal RNA, 276 nt
Filed under: uncultured bacterium
Lineage: Bacteria
Description: partial 16S ribosomal RNA
Rfam family: Bacterial small subunit ribosomal RNA
Source: RNAcentral
AUGAACGCUGGCGGCGUGCUUAACACAUGCAAGUCGAACGGGAUUUAGUAAACAGAAGCCUCGGUGGAAGAUUACUAAUGAGAGUGGCGAACGGGUGAGUAACGCGUGAGCAACCUGCCUAUGACAGUGGGAUAGCCUCGGGAAACCGGGAUUAAUACCGCAUAAAAUCGUAGAAACACAUGUUUCAACGGUCAAAGAUUUAUCGGUCAUAGAUGGGCUCGCGUCUGAUUAGCUAGUUGGUGAGAUAACAGCCACCAAGGCGACGAUCAGUAGCCG